RNAcentral lists this ribosomal RNA (592 nucleotides) under Aspergillus terreus. RNAcentral's name for it is "eukaryotic LSU rRNA". It matches the Rfam family "Eukaryotic large subunit ribosomal RNA", at positions 40 to 647 of the family's 3401-position model. The record is from RNAcentral. Lineage: Eukaryota; Fungi; Ascomycota; Eurotiomycetes; Eurotiales; Aspergillaceae.
AUAUCAAUAAGCGGAGGAAAAGAAACCAACCGGGAUUGCCUCAGUAACGGCGAGUGAAGCGGCAAGAGCUCAAAUUUGAAAGCUGGCUCCUUCGGGGUCCGCAUUGUAAUUUGCAGAGGAUGCUUCGGGUGCAGCCCCCGUCUAAGUGCCCUGGAACGGGCCGUCAUAGAGGGUGAGAAUCCCGUAUGGGGCGGGGUGUCUGCGUCCGUGUGAAGCUCCUUCGACGAGUCGAGUUGUUUGGGAAUGCAGCUCUAAAUGGGUGGUAAAUUUCAUCUAAAGCUAAAUACUGGCCGGAGACCGAUAGCGCACAAGUAGAGUGAUCGAAAGAUGAAAAGCACUUUGAAAAGAGAGUUAAACAGCACGUGAAAUUGUUGAAAGGGAAGCGCUUGCAACCAGACUCGCUCGCGGGGUUCAGCCGGGCUUCGGCCCGGUGUACUUCCCCGCGGGCGGGCCAGCGUCGGUUUGGGCGGCCGGUCAAAGGCCUCCGGAAUGUAGCGCCCUUCGGGGCGCCUUAUAGCCGGGGGUGCAAUGCGGCCAGCCUGGACCGAGGAACGCGCUUCGGCACGGACGCUGGCAUAAUGGUUGUAAACGA